Long non-coding RNA from Penaeus chinensis, 486 nucleotides. RefSeq lists it as uncharacterized. Lineage: Eukaryota; Metazoa; Arthropoda; Malacostraca; Decapoda; Penaeidae. The record is from RefSeq and is a predicted model, not a curated record. The transcript is spliced from 2 exons.
CACGAUCUCAAGAUAUCACGUUGGAAUCUGAAAAAAAACACGAAACCAAUCGAAAUUCGAUUUAUCUUAUCGCUAAUCAGAUACCCACGAUCUCGUCUUGGUUCUGUAAUGCACAGCUAUAACUCGCAGUCCUUUACCAGCCAUGAGGAGGAAAAACGGCAGCCAAGUCAAGCCAGGGGGCGAAAAAAUUUCCCCCACCGGCGAAAAGUUUUCCCCCACCGACUUCAUCCUUCCCGUUCCGCAGAGGACUGUGGCUGUCUGCAUGAUCAUCGCAGUUUUCCUUUUCUAUCUCUUUAAAGAUUAUCCGGAAGGAUUUUGAAGCAUAUGGCGGCUUCUUGAUCUUCUGAGAGAUUUCAGGCCUUAUCAGUUACGCCUCCGGGGAAGAAUGGUAGCUGAUAGGGGGAGACUAAAAAGAAAAGAAAGGGAUAGAAAACAAAAUGUUGAUUUGUGAUGGAAUUGAAUGUUAUUAAAGAUGGAUACAACUGA